UAAGGAAUAUUGCUCAAUGGGAGAAAUCCUGAAGCAGCAACGCCGCGUGGAGGAUGAAGGGUCUAUGACUUGUAAACUCCUGUAAAGAAGGAAAAAAUUCCCAUUAGAUGGGAGAUGAUGGUACUUCUGGAGUAAGCCCCGGCUAACUACGUGCCAGCAGCCGCGGUAAUACGUAGGGGGCAAGCGUUGUCCGGAUUUACUGGGUGUAAAGGGUGCUCAGGCGGAUUUGUAAGUCAGAGGUGAAAUCUUACAGCUUAACUGUGAAACUGCCUUUGAUACUGCAAGCCUAGAGUAUGGAAGAGAGUGAUGGGAUAUCUGGUGUAGCAGUGAAAUGCGUAGAUAUCAGAUAGAACACCAAUGGCGAAGGCAGUCACUUGGUCCAUUACUGACGCUAAAGCACGAAAGCGUGGGUAGCAA
This 417-nucleotide ribosomal RNA is filed under the name uncultured bacterium. RNAcentral's name for it is "bacterial SSU rRNA". It matches the Rfam family "Bacterial small subunit ribosomal RNA", at positions 355 to 771 of the family's 1533-position model. The record is from RNAcentral.